UCCGGGCGGCAUGGCGGCUGUGCUGCGUCCGAGUGUGGCAUGGUGCAAAGCCAGGGUGAAAACACUCACCUGCUUAGGAAGCUGAUUCUUUCACUGGACCAACACUAAACCUGCACCAUGGAGGAAGUUGUCCUGCAGAGGCCUGGGGGCUGUACUGCUGCCCAGAGACAGCUUUGGCAGAGAGCAAGUCGGGCUUCAAACUGGUAAGAGAGUGCUUUGGUAUCGCAUACUGCUGGGUUUUGAUCUGUGUGUAGGCAGC
This is a long non-coding RNA of Neopsephotus bourkii (Bourke's parrot), 259 nucleotides long. RefSeq lists it as uncharacterized. The record is from RefSeq and is a predicted model, not a curated record. The transcript has 3 exons. Lineage: Eukaryota; Metazoa; Chordata; Aves; Psittaciformes; Psittacidae.